Small nuclear RNA from Magnolia sinica, 102 nucleotides. The record is from RefSeq and is a predicted model, not a curated record. NCBI's taxonomy places the organism in Eukaryota, Viridiplantae, Streptophyta, Magnoliopsida, Magnoliales, Magnoliaceae.
GUUGUCUCCUUAGGACACCCAACAAAAUUGGAACCAUACAAAAAAUAUUAGCAUUGCCCCUACGCAUCCUCACACAUAAAUUGAGAAAUGGUCUCUUUUCUU